AUACGGAGGGGGCUAGCGUUGUUCGGAUUUACUGGGCGUAAAGGGCGUGUAGGCGGCCCACAAAGUCAGACGUGAAAGCCCCGGGCUCAACCUGGGAACUGCGCUUGAAACGUGUGGGCUAGAGUCCGGGAGAGGAUGGUGGAAUUCCCAGUGUAGAGGUGAAAUUCGUAGAUAUUGGGAAGAACACCGGUGGCGAAGGCGGCCAUCUGGACCGGUACUGACGCUAAGGCGCGAAAGCGUGGGUAGCGAACAGCAUUAGAAACCCCAGUAGUCC
RNAcentral lists this ribosomal RNA (274 nucleotides) under uncultured bacterium. Its description in RNAcentral is "partial 16S ribosomal RNA". It matches the Rfam family "Bacterial small subunit ribosomal RNA", at positions 523 to 796 of the family's 1533-position model. The record is from RNAcentral.